AAGGGGAUUAUUAUUAUUUUUAUAUUUAAUUAUUUUUGUAGAUAAAAAAAUAAAGUUUUAUUUUGGCUUGAAAUUUUAAUUUAUCAUUAUUUUAUAUGUGAAAAUUUGAUUAAAAAUAUUUUAUUGCAGUUUUUAAUAUUAAAAAAUUAUUAAAGUAAGUUUUAGUAAUUAAUUAGAGAUUUAAUUAAAUUUGUGCCAGCAAUUGCGGUUAUACAAAUAAUUCAAUUAAAAUUUAUUAGUUAAUAAUUAAUUUUUUUAAAGGAAAUUUAUUAUUAAAAUUUUUAAGUGAAAUUUAAAUUUUAAUAUAUUAUUAUUAUUAUAAUUUGAAGUUAUUAAAAUUAAUAUUAAACUAGGAUUAGAUACCCUAUUAUUAUAAUUGUAAAUUUAUAUGCUUGAUUAGUAUUAGUUAUUUUCUUAAAAAUUAAAAAAUUUGGCGGUAUUUUAGUCUCUUCAGAGGAACCUGUUCUUUAAUUGAUAGUCCACGAUUAGUUUUACUUUUCUUUUAUAUUUGUAUAUCGUUGUUUUUGAAUAUUUUAUAAGAAUUAGAAUUUUCAAUAAGUAUAUUAUAGUUUAUUUCAGAUCAAGGUGCAGUUUAUAGGAAAGGAGAAAUGGGUUACAUUAAAUUUAUUUUUGGUUUAUUAUUUUAAUAAGUUUUAUUAAAUUGGAUUUGAUAGUAAUAAUAUAUAUAUAUAUAUUAUGAUUUUAGCUCUAAAAUGUGCACAUAUUGCCCGUCGCUCUCAUUUAUUUGAGAUAAGUCGUAACAAAGUAGAUUUACUGGAAAGUGUAUCUAGGAUUAA
RNAcentral lists this non-coding RNA (797 nucleotides) under Aquatica sp. q XF-2022. Lineage: Eukaryota; Metazoa; Arthropoda; Insecta; Coleoptera; Lampyridae. The record is from RNAcentral.